Molecule: ribosomal RNA, 441 nt
Filed under: uncultured bacterium
Lineage: Bacteria
Description: bacterial SSU rRNA
Rfam family: Bacterial small subunit ribosomal RNA
Source: RNAcentral
UCCUGGCUCAGAUUGAACGCUGGCGGCAGGCCUAACACAUGCAAGUCGAAUGGUAACAGGAAACAGCUUGCUGUUUCGCUGACGAGUGGCGGACGGGUGAGUAAUGUCUGGGAAACUGCCUGAUGGAGGGGGAUAACUACUGGAAACGGUAGCUAAUACCGCAUAACGUCCCAAGACCAAAGAGGGGGACCUUCGGGCCUCUUGCCAUCGGAUGUGCCCAGAUGGGAUUAGCUAGUAGGUGGGGUAACGGCUCACCUAGGCGACGAUCCCUAGCUGGUCUGAGAGGAUGACCAGCCACACUGGAACUGAGACACGGUCCAGACUCCUACGGGAGGCAGCAGUGGGGAAUAUUGCACAAUGGGCGCAAGCCUGAUGCAGCCAUGCCGCGUGUAUGAAGAAGGCCUUCGGGUUGUAAAGUACUUUCAGCGGGGAGGAAGGGAG